Non-coding RNA from Salmo salar (Atlantic salmon), 56 nucleotides. Lineage: Eukaryota; Metazoa; Chordata; Actinopteri; Salmoniformes; Salmonidae. The record is from Rfam.
UAUGCGCAUGACUAAGUAAGUCGCUUUGGAUAAAAGUGUCUGCUAAAUGUCAUAUG